Long non-coding RNA from Mobula hypostoma (lesser devil ray), 150 nucleotides. RefSeq lists it as uncharacterized. The record is from RefSeq and is a predicted model, not a curated record. The transcript has 3 exons. NCBI's taxonomy places the organism in Eukaryota, Metazoa, Chordata, Chondrichthyes, Myliobatiformes, Myliobatidae.
AUAUUCUGCAUGAAUAGCCUCCAACCUGAUGGCAUGAACAUAGAUCUCGCGAACUUCUGUGCAUUUCCCUCCAUUUCUGCAAGGCUGUCGACAUUUACCUGCAUCAAAGAGAGAUCUACAUGAAGUGACUGAGACAACUGCUGUGGAUGC